AAACAGAUCGAGCAUUAGACUUAUCAAGAAAAAACCCUUCGUAUAUAACAAACACGGGUCUCUCUUUACAUCUUUAUUAUAUGUUCGUGACCCAAAACAUAAUAAUAACUCUGUACCUAUAUUGAGCAAAGGAAUCGCAACCCUUAAUCAAUCAGAAGAAGUAAACAACAGAAGAUUGAGAAAACCAAAAAAAAAAAAAUUCAGUGUUUUUGAUAGAAGAAGCAAACCUGGAAGCGAGCAAUUAAGGAGAUGGGAUUGAAGAAGAUAGCAGUGAAUCAAUCAAUCAAUCACAAAUUGAGAAAUACGAAGCCAAAAAGUGAAGAUC
RNAcentral lists this long non-coding RNA (325 nucleotides) under Eutrema salsugineum. RNAcentral describes it as "long non-coding RNA (ESAL_LNC001875)". The record is from RNAcentral. Lineage: Eukaryota; Viridiplantae; Streptophyta; Magnoliopsida; Brassicales; Brassicaceae.